AAGCGUUGUUCGGAUUUAUUGGGCGUAAAGAGCGUGUAGGCGGUUUGUUAAGUCUGAUGUGAAAGCCCUGGGCUCAACCCAGGAAGUGCAUUGGAAACUGGCAGACUUGAAUACGGGAGAGGGCAGUGGAAUUCCUAGUGUAGGAGUGAAAUCCGUAGAUAUUAGGAGGAACACCGGUGGCGAAGGCGGCUGCCUGGACCGAUAUUGACGCUGAGACGCGAAAGCGUGGGUAGCAAACAGGAUUAGAUACCCUGGUAGUCCACGCCGUAAACGAUGAGAACUAGGUGUUGCGGGUAUUGACCCCUGCAGUGCC
This 313-nucleotide ribosomal RNA is filed under the name uncultured delta proteobacterium. RNAcentral describes it as "bacterial SSU rRNA". It matches the Rfam family "Bacterial small subunit ribosomal RNA", at positions 536 to 847 of the family's 1533-position model. The record is from RNAcentral. Lineage: Bacteria; Deltaproteobacteria.